This 76-nucleotide transfer RNA is filed under the name Candidatus Tritonobacter lacicola. RNAcentral describes it as "tRNA-Ala". It matches the Rfam family "tRNA". From Rfam's summary of the family: Transfer RNA (tRNA) molecules are approximately 80 nucleotides in length. Their secondary structure includes four short double-helical elements and three loops (D, anti-codon, and T loops). Further hydrogen bonds mediate the characteristic L-shaped molecular structure. tRNAs have two regions of fundamental functional importance: the anti-codon, which is responsible for specific mRNA codon recognition, and the 3' end, to which the tRNAs corresponding amino acid is attached (by aminoacyl-tRNA synthetases). tRNAs cope with the degeneracy of the genetic code in two manners: having more than one tRNA (with a specific anti-codon) for a particular amino acid; and 'wobble' base-pairing, i.e. permitting non-standard base-pairing at the 3rd anti-codon position. The record is from RNAcentral. Lineage: Bacteria; Pseudomonadati; Candidatus Auribacterota; Candidatus Tritonobacteria; Candidatus Tritonobacterales; Candidatus Tritonobacteraceae.
GGGGGUGUAGCUCAGCUGGGAGAGCGUCGCGUUCGCAAUGCGAAGGCCGGGGGUUCGAGUCCCCCCAUCUCCACCA